UGACCCGUUCCUAAGCACGGACCAAGGAGUUCAGCGUGUACGCGAGUCAUUGGGUGAUAAAACCCAAAGGCGUAAUGAAAGUGAAGGGAACUUUACGUUUCUGAGGGAGGAUGAGUCGGUUACCCGCAAGGGGCUGCUCCGCACUCCCGGGGCGUCUCUUUCUCAUUGCGAGUGGAGGCGCACCCAGAGCGUACACGCUGAUACCCGAAAGAUGGUGAACUAUGCCUGGCCAGGACGAAGCCAGGGGAAACCCUGGUGGAGGUCCGCAGCGAUUCUGACGUGCAAAUCGAUCGUCGGAGCUGGGUAUAGGGGCGAAAGACCAAUCGAACCAUCUAGUAGCUGGUUCCCUCCGAAGUUUCCCUCAGGAUAGCUUGCGCUCAUGUGAAAGAGUCUCAUCCGGUAGAGCGAAUGAUUAGAGGCCUUGGGGUCGAAACGACCUCAACCUAUUCUCAAACUCCAAAUAGAUGAGAACUCCGGCUUUCUUGAACUUUGUUUUUGAAGCCGGGGGCUCGGAUCAGAGUGCCAAGUGGGCCAAUUUUGGUAAGCAGAAGUGGC
RNAcentral lists this ribosomal RNA (555 nucleotides) under Austroplagiognathus sp. Msp195. Its description in RNAcentral is "partial large subunit ribosomal RNA". It matches the Rfam family "Eukaryotic large subunit ribosomal RNA", at positions 645 to 1154 of the family's 3401-position model. The record is from RNAcentral. Lineage: Eukaryota; Metazoa; Arthropoda; Insecta; Hemiptera; Miridae.